GCAGAUGUAGCUCAAUGGUAGAGCAUUUGCCUAACAUGCACAAGGCCCUGUGUUUUGUCCCCAGCACUGCU
This 71-nucleotide transfer RNA is filed under the name Fukomys damarensis (Damara mole-rat). It matches the Rfam family "tRNA". Rfam says of the family: Transfer RNA (tRNA) molecules are approximately 80 nucleotides in length. Their secondary structure includes four short double-helical elements and three loops (D, anti-codon, and T loops). The record is from Rfam by way of RNAcentral. Lineage: Eukaryota; Metazoa; Chordata; Mammalia; Rodentia; Bathyergidae.